UAUUCUAUUUUGGAAUUACUGGCUAUUGUUCCAACAGAAGUCUCAUCAGAACUAUUGCCUUCUAGUCCAGGUCUAAAACUUGGCUUGUCAGUUUCGCCUAUCUGUUGAAGAAAUAGGUGCAGAGCUACAAUAGGUACAACUACAGAGUU
Dermochelys coriacea (leatherback sea turtle) is the source of this 149-nucleotide long non-coding RNA. RefSeq lists it as uncharacterized. Lineage: Eukaryota; Metazoa; Chordata; Testudines; Dermochelyidae. The record is from RefSeq and is a predicted model, not a curated record. The transcript is spliced from 3 exons.